GUAGCGCGGUGCGCACGCGCCACCUCUCCUUCCCCCACUCCUUAACCUCAACUGCCCCCAACGGCUUUUCAGGCCCUAUCGCGUGACCUACGGCGAUGCACCCUUCCCCCUCUCUUUUAAAGAAAAGCGGCAUAGUCAAAAGUCAGGCGACUUCUCUCUUUGUCUCUAAGUAUGGUUGUACUCCGUCCGGUAAUAACUUCUAUUCGUGGGCACCCGGGAGGAGGCUCGAGAAUCCCUCCAAUACUUCCCUAUAGCCUUGAGAUUUAAUUCUGCAGUUCCGCCCCACACUAAGCCCCCAUUUCAGAUUUCUAAAAAGAAUCAGUAGGGUCAGAUUAGGACCCCAGUCUGGCCUGGGCACCGUCUCCGGCGCCGAAGCUGACCGGUGACGUCACAAUGCGGUCUCAGACGAGCCUUUGGAACGGCCAGAGGAAGGAGUCAGUAGCCCACGCAGGGAUCCAAGUUCCGUGACACCAUCAACGUGCGACCUGCCCGCUGGAAGGAAGCCAAGUAUAGGACAAAAAUGCUACGGCUGCUCUCGGCCAGCGGCACCCUGGGACCUCCAGAGGUCAUGGUGCAGGGAAAAGAGCAAUGAGGAAGCGAGAAGCUUUUUUACUACAUGUCUUCAGAGACCCACUUGUGCUGGGCAGGGAGUGAGGCCUUGAAGAGCAUUUUUUGGAGGAGUGGACUAUGACCUCUGCAUCCUUGCUUUGGACUUGAUUGGUGGGGCAGCUAGGUGGCUCAGUGGAUAAAGCACGGACCCUGAAUUCAGGAGGACCUGAGUUCAAAUGUGACUUCAGACACUUGACACUAGCUGUGUGACCCUGGGCAAGUCACUUAACCUUCAUUGCCCCACUAAAAAAACAAAAAAACAAAGACUCAGGACUUGAUUGGCCAAUUGUUGCUUCUUGUUCCCAGCAGCUUCCUUCCUCUUCCAGAUUCUGUGGUCUCUGGGCCAUGAGAACUUCAUACCUAUUUUGGUGUGGACUUCAUGAAAUUUGCCCUUUAACCUCUUCCUAUCCCAGAAGAAAAGGGAAGCCUGACAUAUCCUGGCCCUGCUCUUCCAAUUCAGUUUGGAAAAGUAAUGCUCCUUAAGAAUUGGGAUUAUGAAGGCAGCAGUCCUUGCUUCAUCCUGCCCUAGCCUCUUCCACCAACCUUACAUACAUAUACUUUAUGGGUCUAAUUCUGAUGACUAACCUACCUGGAAGAUUCAGACAAUGACUUGGAUAGCUGAUGGGCUGAUGGACUGACUAUGAGGCCUGACUAACCUUGACCUGCGUCCUGCAGCUAUACAAUGUAUAGUCACACUUCAUCUUGUAGAUUAGUUUCUAAAAUCAGUGUGUGAGCCACAAAGUGAUAUAGUUGAAAUGACUCAUAAAAUACAUUAUAGUAUCUUUAAUUUAAACAGUUGUAGCUGGGGCAGCUAGAUGGCGCAGUGGAUAAAGCACCGGUCCUGGAUUCAGGAGUACCUGAGUUCAAAUCCAGCCUCAGACGCUUGACACUUACUAGCUGUGUGACCCUGGGCAAGUCACUUAACCCUCAUUGCCCCGCAAAAAAAAAAAAAAGAAUUAAUGGUUAAUAGUACUGAAAACCAGUGACUAGGAGAAAAUAUACUCUUAAGUGUUAUUCUAUUAAA
Long non-coding RNA from Dromiciops gliroides (monito del monte), 1633 nucleotides. RefSeq lists it as uncharacterized. The record is from RefSeq and is a predicted model, not a curated record. The transcript has 4 exons. Lineage: Eukaryota; Metazoa; Chordata; Mammalia; Microbiotheria; Microbiotheriidae.